GAACUGAAGAGUUUGAUCAUGGCUCAGAUUGAACGCUGGCGGCAGGCCUAACACAUGCAAGUCGAGCGGAUGACGGGAGCUUGCUCCUUGAUUCAGCGGCGGACGGGUGAGUAAUGCCUAGGAAUCUGCCUGGUAGUGGGGGACAACGUUUCGAAAGGAACGCUAAUACCGCAUACGUCCUACGGGAGAAAGCAGGGGACCUUCGGGCCUUGCGCUAUCAGAUGAGCCUAGGUCGGAUUAGCUAGUUGGUGGGGUAAUGGCUCACCAAGGCGACGAUCCGUAACUGGUCUGAGAGGAUGAUCAGUCACACUGGAACUGAGACACGGUCCAGACUCCUACGGGAGGCAGCAGUGGGGAAUAUUGGACAAUGGGCGAAAGCCUGAUCCAGCCAUGCCGCGUGUGUGAAGAAGGUCUUCGGAUUGUAAAGCACUUUAAGUUGGGAGGAAGGGCAGUAAGYUAAUACCUUGCUGUUUUGACGUUACCGACAGAAUAAGCACCGGCUAACUCUGUGCCAGCAGCCGCGGUAAUACAG
This 532-nucleotide ribosomal RNA is filed under the name Pseudomonas putida. RNAcentral describes it as "bacterial SSU rRNA". It matches the Rfam family "Bacterial small subunit ribosomal RNA", at positions 1 to 528 of the family's 1533-position model. The record is from RNAcentral. Lineage: Bacteria; Pseudomonadati; Pseudomonadota; Gammaproteobacteria; Pseudomonadales; Pseudomonadaceae.